RNAcentral lists this transfer RNA (86 nucleotides) under Candidatus Aadella gelida. RNAcentral's name for it is "tRNA-Leu". It matches the Rfam family "tRNA". Rfam says of the family: Transfer RNA (tRNA) molecules are approximately 80 nucleotides in length. Their secondary structure includes four short double-helical elements and three loops (D, anti-codon, and T loops). The record is from RNAcentral. Lineage: Bacteria; Pseudomonadati; Candidatus Omnitrophota.
GCGGGCGUGGCGGAAUGGCAGACGCGUAUGGUUCAGGUCCAUAUGGGGGAAACCCCUUGGGGGUUCAAGUCCCUUCGCCCGCACCA